Molecule: transfer RNA, 73 nt
Filed under: Ovis aries (sheep)
Lineage: Eukaryota; Metazoa; Chordata; Mammalia; Artiodactyla; Bovidae
Rfam family: tRNA
About the family: Transfer RNA (tRNA) molecules are approximately 80 nucleotides in length. Their secondary structure includes four short double-helical elements and three loops (D, anti-codon, and T loops).
Source: Rfam by way of RNAcentral
UCCCUGGUGGUUCAGCAGCUGGGACUCUGCGCUCCCAAUGCAGGGGGCCUGGGUUCAAUCCCUGUUCAGGGAA